GGAGGUCAAAUCCCCUGCUAAGGGAGUAGGCGUCUAAAAAGCGCGCGAGGGUUCAAAUCCCUCUCACUCCGCCA
RNAcentral lists this transfer RNA (74 nucleotides) under Caudoviricetes sp. RNAcentral's name for it is "tRNA-OTHER". Lineage: Duplodnaviria; Heunggongvirae; Uroviricota; Caudoviricetes. The record is from RNAcentral.